This is a long non-coding RNA of Herpailurus yagouaroundi (jaguarundi), 1156 nucleotides long. RefSeq lists it as uncharacterized. Lineage: Eukaryota; Metazoa; Chordata; Mammalia; Carnivora; Felidae. The transcript has 2 exons. The record is from RefSeq and is a predicted model, not a curated record.
GCACCACGGGCGCCAGCCCCACCUGGAGGCGCCCCGCCGCGCUCGCUGGACGUCCGUCUUCCCAGGCUGGCGCCCCUUCCGGGGAGAGACCCUGGCCGGGGUGGGGGUGGGGGGGCCACUGCCCGGAGCCGCGCGCCCACCGACGGGGAUAGGUGUGACGGGCGCUCUUCCGCGCGGGAAAGGCCCUUCCUACCCCGCCUUGGCCCUGGGCACCGGGAAGUGACCUGGCUGGGGGACACGCUUUGGGUCACGCAGGGGGUACAAGGGAGCGCGCGGCACCCUGUACCGCUUCUGGUUCCGAGAAGUACAGAGAGAGCCCGGAAAAUCUCCCGAGCCGGUGUCCUCCUCGCUGAAGAGGGGAUGGGGUCACCACCUGGUUGGUGAGGGGCUUGGUGGUCCAGGAGGCAGAGCCUGGCAAAGGGAAACCCACCUACACGGAGGAAGAGCCGCUGCCAGGCAGGGUCGGGACCUGCUGCUCUCGGGGACUGCUCUCCAGGCGACCUGCUGUGCGCUAUGUAGGGAGGUGGCAGAGUCACGGGCGUUCCAAUCCGGAGGGCAGAAAGGAUACAGGAAUGAAGCAGCAUCCCUUCACGUCUUCUAGAGUCCGAAGACAUCCGUCAUCGUCACGCUGAAGCAUGUUGUCAGAGGUAUUGGAGCCAGGGUUGUGCUGGUUCCCGUACGGAAGCCCCUUGAUCCUUCUUACUCCUCCCCGUUCGGCGUCUCUUCCUGCUCAAGCUUCUCACGCCUGAGACCGCUCCCCUCUUCUCACCCUAGGCUUCAAGGAUCUACCCUCCCUCUUGCCAUCCUGACCACUUAGCCAUCUUCCUCUUUCAGACCCAGGCCCCAGCGCUUGUUAAAUCAGCCCCCAUCAGCACUUCCUGUUCAAUCCCACCUAGGGAGCCCUGCUCCCCACCAAACCCUGCAGCUCCCUUCCUGUAACGCGCAGGAGGCUGGAGGGAGUUUUCCUGAGACCGUUACGCUUAACCCUCGCUGUGUGUCUUGUCUUCCGUUUAUUUGAGGGCUGAGACUUUGGGCUCGAGUUCAGGGUAACACAGGUUAUGCUCAUUGACCUUAAAGGCCCCAGUAGAUGUCAGCUAAAAUUAAAACACUCGGGCCAGACAUGCUCUCUAGGAGGAUAAACAAACAAACAAAAAAA